CCUACGGGCGGCAGCAGUGGGGAAUAUUGGGCAAUGGGCGCAAGCCUGACCCAGCAACGCCGCGUGAAGGAAGAAGGUUUUCGGGUUGUAAACUUCUUUUGUUAGGGACGAAGCAAGUGACGGUACCUGAUGAAGAAGUCACGGCUAACUACGGGCCAGCAGCCGCGGUAAUACGUAGGGGGCAAGCGUUAUCCGGAUUUAUUGGGUGUAAAGGGCGUGUAGGCGGGAAUGCAAGUCAGAUGUGAAAACUAUGGGCUUAACCCAUUGCCUGCAUUUGAAACUGUAUUUCUUGAGUGCAGGAGAGGCAAUCGGAAUUCCGUGUGUAGCGGUGAAAUGCGUAGAUAUACGGAGGAACACCAGUGGCGAAGGCGGAUUGCUGGACAGUAACUGACGCUGAGGCUCGAAAGCGUGGGGAGCAAACAGGAUUAGAUACCCUAGUAGUC
Molecule: ribosomal RNA, 443 nt
Filed under: uncultured bacterium
Lineage: Bacteria
Description: partial 16S ribosomal RNA
Rfam family: Bacterial small subunit ribosomal RNA
Source: RNAcentral